GUGCGAUGAGCGCGUGAUGACGGGAUGUCAGCCGCUGCUCGUGGAAACUCGUCCAAAACCGGGAACGGCGUAAAGUCUGAUCCGGACAGAAUUCGGACGGUACGCAGAGAGCUGUCGACUGAGUACGCGCGCAAUGAAUGGGAUAAUAUGGAGUCUUCAUCUAGAGAUUAUAAAACCUCAAGAGGAAGCAUCAAAGGUACUCCAGGAGCUCCUGAUGAUAAUAUACCAACAGUGUUGGCUAUGCAGCUGGCUAUGGUGGAGGGGCCAGAUCGACUUCCUGCCGAUGAGGACACACAGGAAGUGCUUUGCAGGAAACUUUGUGUGCUGGAAGCUGACCUCUCAGGGGUCAUGACCUUAAUCUCUGUAUGGCCGUCCCUAUUCAGACUGCAUAAAAUAUUCGAAACCUUUCUGAAAUGUGUUUAAGAAAAUAUACACACAUUUAACAUACUGGUUUCCCUGUCUUGCAGGAACUGUCUGCUCAUUUUGUAUCCAUCAACAGUGAGGAAAGGACUAUAUUUAUCACCUUUGAUGGGGAUAGAUGGGGAUAGAGGAACCAAACCAAAACCAGCUCUGGAGCCAGUCAUUCCCUUUCAUGAGUAUGUGUCACCUUCUGAAUUUCAUAAGAACUUAUUGUCAU
This 637-nucleotide long non-coding RNA is filed under the name Sinocyclocheilus anshuiensis. Its description in RNAcentral is "lncRNA (ENSSANG00000023228.1)". Lineage: Eukaryota; Metazoa; Chordata; Actinopteri; Cypriniformes; Cyprinidae. The record is from RNAcentral.